CUGAACUGAGCUGCCGGUCCAAGUAGACUCAGUGUAAAGCAGAGCUGCAACCCAGGAGGGAUGGAGGUUGUGGAGAGAAUCAGAGCAAGUUAUUCCUUGUCAGACUAGUGCAGAGAACUGGAAUAUUUGGAAGCCUAUAACCACACUCUUCUGGCCCUAGGAAAUGUCUUCAAAGUGUGAGCACACAAGUAUUCAUGAGGAAAAGAGUGAGCCUGGUGGGUUUCACAGCGGCAGUGAGUAGAAGUAGAGCAAGGCCUGGAGAUUGAGCCAAAGUGCCCAUAGCAACAGAUCCCGAAGACUUCUUUAUCUUAAGCAGGGGAAUUUUCCAUUACCUGAAGAAACUCUUGGAAAGUGGGACAACAAUCAUUUCUCCUGUUCCCCAACUGACUCCUCUGUUUCUCUGCUGAGACUCCCAACAAAGGUGCCAAUUAGUGCCAAAUGUCAUGAUGUUUGAGCUGUAGACACCUGUCUUCUAAUAACUCGGCUGAGACCACCACCUCAUUUCACACAGGCUAUCAAACAGACAUCAAUUGGUAAUGGCCUAUAUUUACUACCAACCUGGUCUCAAGCCAAGACCUUCUCCCAUGAAAGUGCUUUAGCAUUCCUGAUGACAAGCAGCAAGUUCAACAUGUGUUCACUUUCCUCCAAUAAAAGGACCCAUGGCUGUGGCACUAAGUGCCACUAAGUGAUCAUGGCUCUAUCUCAUCCUCUGUGUUCCCUCCAUAUUUGAACUCUGUAGAGUGAGCCUCUCCUAAACAAGUAUUUUUAAUACCCAUUGAAGUGGAAUACAGAUUAAGAUUCAUGUGC
This is a long non-coding RNA of Talpa occidentalis (Iberian mole), 807 nucleotides long. RefSeq lists it as uncharacterized. The record is from RefSeq and is a predicted model, not a curated record. The transcript has 4 exons. NCBI's taxonomy places the organism in Eukaryota, Metazoa, Chordata, Mammalia, Eulipotyphla, Talpidae.